AUUGAACGCUGGCGGCAUGCUUUACACAUGCAAGUCGAACGGUAACAGGCCUUCGGGUGCUGACGAGUGGCAAACGGGUGAGUAAUGCAUCGGAACGUGCCCAGAGGUGGGGGAUAACGCAGCGAAAGCUGUGCUAAUACCGCAUGUGAUCUGAGGAUGAAAGCGGGGGACCAGGCAGCAAUGUUUGGCCUCGCGCCUUUGGAGCGGCCGAUGUCAGAUUAGGUAGUUGGUGGGGUAAAGGCCUACCAAGCCGACGAUCUGUAGCUGGUCUGAGAGGACGACCAGCCACACUGGGACUGAGACACGGCCCAGACUCCUACGGGAGGCAGCAGUGGGGAAUUUUGGACAAUGGGCGCAAGCCUGAUCCAGCAAUGCCGCGUGCGGGAAGAAGGCCUUCGGGUUGUAAACCGCUUUUGUACGGAACGAAAAGGCUCUGGCUAAUACCUGGGGCUGAUGACGGUACCGUAAGAAUAAGCACCGGCUAACUACGCG
RNAcentral lists this ribosomal RNA (492 nucleotides) under uncultured bacterium. RNAcentral's name for it is "partial 16S ribosomal RNA". It matches the Rfam family "Bacterial small subunit ribosomal RNA", at positions 30 to 507 of the family's 1533-position model. The record is from RNAcentral.